This 400-nucleotide ribosomal RNA is filed under the name uncultured bacterium. RNAcentral describes it as "bacterial SSU rRNA". It matches the Rfam family "Bacterial small subunit ribosomal RNA", at positions 355 to 752 of the family's 1533-position model. The record is from RNAcentral.
UGAGGAAUAUUGGGCAAUGGACGAAAGUCUGACCCAGCCAUGCCGCGUGGAGGAUGAAGGCCCUCUGGGUUGUAAACUUCUUUUAUUGGGGAAGAAAAGCACUGUUUCUACGGUGUCCGACGGUACCCAAGGAAUAAGCACCGGCUAACUCCGUGCCAGCAGCCGCGGUAAUACGGAGGGUGCAAGCGUUAUCCGGAUUUACUGGGUUUAAAGGGUGCGUAGGCGGGCUAGUAAGUCAGAGGUGAAAUCUCCAAGCUUAACUUGGAAACUGCCCCUGAUACUAUUAGUCUUGAAUAUCGAUGAGGUGGGCGGAAUACAUCAUGUAGCGGUGAAAUGCUUAGAUAUGAUGUAGAACACCGAUUGCGAAGGCAGCUCACUAACCGAUUAUUGACGCUGAGGC